This 254-nucleotide ribosomal RNA is filed under the name uncultured bacterium. RNAcentral's name for it is "partial 16S ribosomal RNA". It matches the Rfam family "Bacterial small subunit ribosomal RNA", at positions 524 to 776 of the family's 1533-position model. The record is from RNAcentral.
UACGUAGGGGGCAAGCGUUGUCCGGAUUCAUUGGGCGUAAAGAGCUCGUAGGCGGCUUGGCAAGUCGGGUGUGAAAACUCCAGGCUCAACCUGGAGACGCCACCCGAUACUGCCAUGGCUUGAGUCCGGUAGGGGACCACGGAAUUCCUGGUGUAGCGGUGAAAUGCGCAGAUAUCAGGAGGAACACCGGUGGCGAAGGCGAUGGUCUGGGCCGGUACUGACGCUGAGGAGCGAAAGCGUGGGGAGCGAACAGG